Molecule: ribosomal RNA, 253 nt
Filed under: uncultured bacterium
Lineage: Bacteria
Description: partial 16S ribosomal RNA
Rfam family: Bacterial small subunit ribosomal RNA
Source: RNAcentral
UACAGAGGUCCCAAGCGUUGUUCGGAUUCACUGGGCGUAAAGGGUGCGUAGGCGGUUGGGUAAGUCUGAUGUGAAAGCUCGGAGCUUAACUCCGAAAUGGCAUCGGAUACUAUCCGGCUAGAGGAAUGGAGGGGAGACUGGAAUACUUGGUGUAGCAGUGAAAUGCGUAGAUAUCAAGUGGAACACCAGUGGCGAAGGCGAGUCUCUGGACAUUUCCUGACGCUGAGGCACGAAAGCCAGGGGAGCAAACGGG